CCUACGGGCGGCAGCAGUAGGGAAUAUUGCUCAAUGGGGGAAACCCUGAAGCAGCAACGCCGCGUGGAGGAUGAAGGUUUUCGGAUUGUAAACUCCUUUUGUUAGAGAAGAUAAUGACGGUAUCUAACGAAUAAGCACCGGCUAACUCCGUGCCAGCAGCCGCGGUAAUACGGAGGGUGCAAGCGUUACUCGGAAUCACUGGGCGUAAAGAGCGCGUAGGGGGGAUAGCAAGUCAGAUGUGAAAUCCUAUGGCUUAACCAUAGAACUGCAUUUGAAACUGUUAUUCUAGAGUAUGGGAGAGGUAGGUGGAAUGCUUGGUGUAGGGGUAAAAUGCGUAGAGAUCAAGAGGAAUACUCAUUGCGAAGGCGACCUGCUAGAACAUAACUGACGCUGAUGCGCGAAAGCGUGGGGAGCAAACAGGAUUAGAUACCCCUGUAGUC
This 440-nucleotide ribosomal RNA is filed under the name uncultured bacterium. Its description in RNAcentral is "partial 16S ribosomal RNA". It matches the Rfam family "Bacterial small subunit ribosomal RNA", at positions 338 to 795 of the family's 1533-position model. The record is from RNAcentral.